GGAGGGGGGGGGGGGGGGAGACGAUCCAAGGAAGGGGGAGGCAGGGAGAAAGGAAAUUAAGGGGGAAAAAAGUGUCAGGAGCCCGCGAUGUGAAUCAUUUGAUUCCGAAAACGAGCUCAAGUUCUCCUCGGCCACACACACACGCUCGGCUGUUUAAUUCGCCUCCCGCCGCCGGCGCACCGAUCGCGCCGAGUCAGCAGCACUGAGUGCGCGCCGCCGCCGCUCUGCACAUGCACGAGGACGCGCGGCGAGGGCAGCAGCAGCGGGAGGUAUGUGUGUGUGUGUGUGUGUCGCGCGCCCCCGCCCACCCGCCUGCCUCGUGCACGGGCGGAGGCGCGCGGGCGACCGUUAACGGCCGAACGGACACGUGAGGGACGGAGGUGGCGCCCGCCCGCCCGACGGCUGGUUCUUGCCGGCUCCUGCUGCUGCCGCAUCCAUCGUGGGAUUACAACAUUGAUCUAUUUAUUGUUUCAAUGCCUUUGACAAAGGACAGGACUUGUCCCCCAAACCCAAGUCCGAAAGGAAGUUAUCAACUCAUCUCAGAGGCUUUUGCACGUUCGGGACAUUCGCACAGAUCAGGAGUAGGUUUGCUGCCAGAUCUAACAGUACACGGAUUGUUACUAUUGAACUAUUUAUCUCUUUGGAGUUGUCCGCUGACCAAACAUACCUUGCUCUGUAGAGGAUUCGAGACAUAAAACAGAGCUUUUAGUGUACGGGAUGAAAUGCACAAAUUUCAAAUGGUCAGUCAAUUGUCCUGCUGAAGAAGAACAGAACGUGUUGGAGAUAUUCAUCUGGUCAGAUAGCAUCUGUGGAGAGAGUAAUUGAUGAGAAGGCCUUCCCUGUCACAUCAAUUACACACUGAGUUUCAUCACUACACCAGCUGCUCUGGAGGCGUCUACGUCGCCGAUGAGGCAGUCAUCCAUUUCUUUCGGGAACAUGCAUUUACUAAGAAGCUCUGGGGAAAAAAAGGCAUUUGUAUUUGUGGAGGUUCGUGCUGAACGGCCAAAGGUUACAGACUGGUACAUUCCAACCUCUACAGAUGGAUCUACUGCAAGGAUGUCAUGAUUAAGGGCCACAGUUUAAGGUCCUCUGACCAUUGCACACUGAGAGGCUGGAGCCUUGGACUUUCACUUGUGAAUGAUAAAAUUAUGUUAUCCUUUCGAUUGUUAUUGCACAAAUAAAAUGUCUUACUAACUUCAA
Molecule: long non-coding RNA, 1200 nt
Organism: Leucoraja erinaceus (little skate)
Lineage: Eukaryota; Metazoa; Chordata; Chondrichthyes; Rajiformes; Rajidae
Exons: 2
Source: RefSeq, a predicted model, not a curated record